GUCCCACAUCCUCCUUUUCACCUUUUCCUUCUGCCUAUUAAACCCCUCCCGGUCUCCUCUUUCCCCCUUGUCUCAUCGUUUUCUUGCUUAACUCUCUUCUCGCGCUUUAUUUUCUUUUUUUCCUCCCGCCCCACCUCCCGUAUCUACUUGUAGCCCCUCUUGCCUACAACCAUCCCUCCAUCUUAAACUUUGGGUCUUAUGCCUGUCCUCGGAGCUGUGUGGCUUUUGCCCUUCAUUCCUUGCCCUGAUCUGACCCCUCUCUUUGCUCACUUAUCCCUCUGGGCCUAUCUGCUUUCAGUGCCCUCUCUUAGGAUUGAGUGGGUGGGGCCUGGAGUUUCUGCUUUGCAUAAAUUCUGUAGUACUGGGGAAGUAGGAAAGGUGGAGGAGAUUGCGAAGAAGAGAUUCGUGCAAAGCUGAGUAAGGAUGAAUGGCUCCACCAACACUUACCAUCGUCUCCUGGCACAAGGUGCCUUGUCCUCAGGGGCCUAGCAUGUUGUCCGGUAUUGGAAGAAGGGAUGGAAUUGGAAGAAAGAAGAUUCAUUCCAGAGACAAAAUAGCUCCCCUCUCCUAUUGUAGCUGUUUCCUCUGGGACUAUAAACUUUCUGCUUUCAGGUUCUGCAGCAUCCCAGAUCACAAACACCAGAUCAGGAUGGGAAAAAGACGUUGUGUUCCUCCCCUUGAGCCCAAGUUGGCAGCAGGCUGUUGUGGGGUCAAGAAGCCCAAAUUAUCUGGAAGUGGAACACACAGUCCCGGUAACCAGUCCACUACUGUUCCUGGCUCAAGUUCAGGACCUCUUCAAACCCACCAGCAUGUGGACAGCAGCAGUGGUCGGGAAAAUGUAUCAGACUUAACUCUGGGACCUGGAAACUCCCCCAUCACACGAAUGAAUCCUGCAUCUGGAGCCCUGAGCCCUCUCCCCCGGCCCAAUGGAACUGCCAAUACCACUAAGAACCUGGUGGUGACUGCAGAAAUGUGCUGCUACUGCUUUGAUGUACUCUACUGUCACCUCUAUGGCUUUCCACAGCCACGACUUCCUAGAUUCACCAAUGACCCCUAGUGAGUAAAUUAGACAUGGGACAAUGUGGUCACAGCUUCCUGACAGAGUCUGACUAUAAGGGUUUGUUAGUAGUGGUUAUGAUGUAACACAGCAUACAGUAGGUAGAGAAGUCAUCAUACCACUGGCACCUCCAAAAUGUUGGAAUCCUAGUGAAUGUGAAUCGGAAGUGUUUGAGGGUCAGGCUAGACUGACUAAGAGCUCUCAUUCAUUGGGAGCAGUGCUUUUAGGAAGGUGGUUUUUGUGUGUGUGUGUGUGUGUGUGUGUGUGUGUGUGUGUGUCCAUUUUUAUGCAUAUAUGUAUACUUGUGUGUGCACAGGGGUUGAGGGGAGCAUGCAUGUGUUUGUGCAAGUGGAGGUUUAAGGUUGAUGCUUGGGAAUCAUCUCAGAGUGCUAUUCCUUAUUUCAUUGUGGCAGGGUUGAUCUCACUAACCUGGAACUGGUGGGUAUGGCUAGUCUUAACUACUGGCUUACCUUCUGAAUUAAAGGUGGGCCACCACACCCACUGUCCUUUAUGAGGAUUCUGAG
This 1581-nucleotide long non-coding RNA is filed under the name Rattus norvegicus (Norway rat). RNAcentral's name for it is "long non-coding RNA NONRATT013274". Lineage: Eukaryota; Metazoa; Chordata; Mammalia; Rodentia; Muridae. The record is from RNAcentral.